RNAcentral lists this small RNA (73 nucleotides) under Phyllobacterium endophyticum. Its description in RNAcentral is "Makes More Granules Regulator RNA (mmgR)". It matches the Rfam family "Makes More Granules Regulator RNA (mmgR)". From Rfam's summary of the family: SuhB later renamed mmgR (makes more granules regulator) was a putative non-coding RNA found multiple times in the Agrobacterium tumefaciens genome and related alpha-proteobacteria. Other non-coding RNAs uncovered in the same analysis include: speF, ybhL, metA, and serC. The record is from Rfam by way of RNAcentral. Lineage: Bacteria; Pseudomonadati; Pseudomonadota; Alphaproteobacteria; Hyphomicrobiales; Phyllobacteriaceae.
UGUCUAUGCCCUCCUUGGGCGUUUCCUCCCUAGACUUGGGCCGCGCUUUAUGCGCGGUCUUUUUUUGCCCUCA